This 88-nucleotide transfer RNA is filed under the name Fusarium ambrosium. Its description in RNAcentral is "tRNA-Tyr". It matches the Rfam family "tRNA". Rfam says of the family: Transfer RNA (tRNA) molecules are approximately 80 nucleotides in length. Their secondary structure includes four short double-helical elements and three loops (D, anti-codon, and T loops). RNAcentral also lists the same sequence under 28 other names. Lineage: Eukaryota; Fungi; Ascomycota; Sordariomycetes; Hypocreales; Nectriaceae. The record is from RNAcentral.
CUCCGCAUGGUGUAGUUGGUUUAUCACGUUCGGCUGUAACUGAAGAAUUGCCACCGAAAGGUCCCUAGUUCGAUUCUGGGUGGGGAGA